This 100-nucleotide microRNA precursor is filed under the name Marmota monax (woodchuck). Lineage: Eukaryota; Metazoa; Chordata; Mammalia; Rodentia; Sciuridae. The record is from RNAcentral.
AGUGUAACUUCUGGGCUGUAUGGUAAUUUAGGUUUAAUUAUUGCAGAAAUUGCCAGUCUUUUCCAUAGUGGCUGCACCAUUUUAUAUUCCCACCAGUAGU